GUGGAAGAGAUUUUGUCUAAAGGGCAGCAUUUGUACAAGGAAAAACCAGCCACUCAGCCAGUGAACUCCUACUCAGACUGUUACUCUGGUGACACAACCUGUGGUUACUAAGGAAACUGCCAUCUCCAAACUAGAAAUGCCAUCUUCCUUGAUGUUGGAGGUACCUGCUCUGGCAGAUUUCAACCGGGCUUGGACAGAACUUACCGACUGGCUUUCUCUGCUUGAUCAAGUUAUAAAAUCACAGAGGGUGAUGGUGGGUGACCUUGAGGAUAUCAACGAGAUGAUCAUCAAGCAGAAGCAACAAUGCAGGAUUUGGAACAGAGGCGUCCCCAGUUGGAAGAACUCAUUACCGCUGCCCA
RNAcentral lists this long non-coding RNA (359 nucleotides) under Homo sapiens (human). RNAcentral describes it as "non-protein coding lnc-FTHL17-2:1". The record is from RNAcentral. Lineage: Eukaryota; Metazoa; Chordata; Mammalia; Primates; Hominidae.